UACGUAGGGUGCGAGCGUUAAUCGGAAUUACUGGGCGUAAAGCGUGCGCAGGCGGUGAUGCAAGACAGAGGUGAAAUCCCCGGGCUCAACCUGGGAACUGCCUUUGUGACUGCAUGACUAGAGUACGGUAGAGGGGGAUGGAAUCCGCGUGUAGCAGUGAAAUGCGUAGAUAUGCGGAGGAACACCGAUGGCGAAGGCAAUCCCCUGGACCUGUACUGACGCUCAUGCACGAAACGUGGGGAGCAAACAGG
This 251-nucleotide ribosomal RNA is filed under the name uncultured bacterium. RNAcentral's name for it is "partial 16S ribosomal RNA". It matches the Rfam family "Bacterial small subunit ribosomal RNA", at positions 524 to 776 of the family's 1533-position model. The record is from RNAcentral.